CUAAAACAAAACUGUAUGGUUUUCAACAAUGAGCAAAACCCAUACCCCAUAGUAAGCUAUAAAAGGUCUCGAAAUGACGCCACUUUCGAUGACGUUGUUGUGUCUCACUGCCGCUACGUUUAUGUCGCAGGCUCGACACAAAUCAAAAGACUAAUACGUUUUCGUUAAAAAAAAAAUUAACUCACACUUAAGUCACAGUAAAAUCGGAGGAGGGGGGCUCGGACUAAGCGACAAAG
Molecule: long non-coding RNA, 236 nt
Filed under: Mytilus galloprovincialis (Mediterranean mussel)
Lineage: Eukaryota; Metazoa; Mollusca; Bivalvia; Mytilida; Mytilidae
Source: RNAcentral